AUUGAACGCUGGCGGCAUGCCUAACACAUGCAAGUCGAACGGCAGCACGGUGACUUCUUGCUGUUGCCGAGUGGCGAACGGGUGAGUAAUACAUCGGAAUCUGUCCCUUAGUGUGGGAAAGGCCGGAGGAAGCCGGAUUUAUACCACAAACGAAUCCCGGCUAAGAGGGGGGGCACUGGAACUCUCGCGCUUUCGGGAUGGCAGGUGGCGAUGUCGGAUUAGCUAGUUGGUGGGGUAAAGGCCUACCAAGGCGACGAUCGGUAGCUGGUCUGAGAGGAUGAUCAGCCACACUGGAACUGAGACACGGUCCAGACUCCUACGGGAGGCAGCAGUGGGGAAUAUUGGACAAUGGGCGAAAGCCUGAUCCAGCAAUGCCGCGUGUGUGAAGAAGGCCUUCGGGUUGUAAAGCACUUUUGUUGGGAAAGAAAUGCUGGAGGCUAAUACCGUGCGGUGAUGACGGUACCGGAAGAAUAAGCACCGGCUAACUACGUG
Molecule: ribosomal RNA, 492 nt
Filed under: uncultured bacterium
Lineage: Bacteria
Description: partial 16S ribosomal RNA
Rfam family: Bacterial small subunit ribosomal RNA
Source: RNAcentral